This is a long non-coding RNA of Misgurnus anguillicaudatus (oriental weatherfish), 1271 nucleotides long. RefSeq lists it as uncharacterized. NCBI's taxonomy places the organism in Eukaryota, Metazoa, Chordata, Actinopteri, Cypriniformes, Cobitidae. The record is from RefSeq and is a predicted model, not a curated record.
UGCAAGACGUGCAGGCUGUGUGCCACACGCGUACUCGUAAAGUCAACAUUGGGGUCUACACGUCCACAUGGUCUUUAACGUGCUCGCUCGGCCCCGCCCCCUCUGAAGCUAUAGGCCGACAUGCGUUCUUAUAUAUUGUGUAGGAUCACAGUGUUUCUUAGUUUUCUGGCACUUUCACCCCCGGCGGCCUGUCUUCAGGACUUCAGCAUUACACAUCCAUCAGGAGAUUUAUUUCAGUUGUUUGGUGUUCAAAGACAGCAGAGAUGAUCAUCAGACUGGGCAGAUUGACUCCUGGAUAUUUCCGUCUCUUGCAGAGUCAGGUAGCAGGAGAGGUGCAGGCACCAUCAUGUGACCGCUCCACCAACCAAAUAGCCAUGAUGCUGGCCAUCAUGGGUCUCAGUCUGUCCUACUACAGUGCCAAACAGAUGACAGAGAAGGUUCGCCGAAAGCCGGCGCCAUGAAGACUCUCCUGUGUCUGGUUUUUUGGACCUCCAAACCGAAAGUAAAGUCGGAGCGAGAUGACCACGUGCGGCACACUAUAUCCCUUUUGUAUCAGAAACUGGAUUUCCAGCAAUCACUAAACCACGGGAAGCAAAUCUGGGUCUUCUGCUAGGGGUUCUCUCACUUUAGUUUAACUCUCAGUCGGGUCUGGAGGGGGUUGAACUUGGCUUUGUUUGGGUUUGUUGGGUUGAAUCUUGAUAGUUGACUUGGUACUUGAAUCAGAGAGUCGAUUCGUACUGCUGUAGAACUUUCUGUAUAUUAUUUAGGGAAAUCUGCCGCUACUUUGAGCCAUAAUGCCUUUAAAGGGAACAUCAUCUGGUAUUGAGAUGUACCAAGCAACUAUUAAAAGAAAUGAGGGACUGAAAGGAUUCAUGUUUUUGAAGAAACUUCACACAGAUCUGAGUACUUGAAAGUUUAGUCUCAGAUCUGAUCUUUUAAUAGGACACUACUCGAAUAUCUGAGUUAUCAGUACUACACUGUGACCGCUUUUUGAACAAAUUUAGUUUUUUUCAAUAUAACUAAAACGAUUUUCAACAAUCUUGACCAGCAGAUUUAACAACAAUCAACAGUUACUUUGUGUUUGUGCAAUUGCAUGAGUUUGUCGUUUUUAAAUGCAGUCUAUAAAAUUAUUUCUAAUAGUUUUUUAUGACAAUGUGAAUUAUGAUGUAUAUGUAUGUUGUUACAUUUUUUAAGAAUGAAAUCUAUGAACAAAUAAAGCUGUGAAUUUUCCGAAAGAGAUGAACUUUAAUAAAGUCUGUUGAAUAAAACAA